ACCUAAUUGAAAUGUGGUUUUUGAGUGAUCCUUUCUGUCCCUUUUUUUAGUACCCUGAGAUUUAUAUUUCUGUGUGCCCUGUAACCCAGGAAAGACAAGGUUGUGAGUCCUAUGCACAGCUGACUUCGCCUGAGCUGAUGCAGUUUUGAACCUUGAGUCUCAGCACAGAGGAUAAGGAUGCACAUCUACAAAGAAAGUAACGGUUUUAAAGACUCAGUUUAAAAGACAAACUCUGUACCGAGAAAGAGAAGGAAUACUUUGAAUGCAGCAGGACAGCCUGUCACCCAAGAGAAAACGGUCGACACGCUGCUGAAGCUGACUGCAUAUUUUCAUUUUCAAAAAGCACUCAAGACUAAAACCACCUGUGAGUGAGUCUAGCCUCUCCAGCUGAUUUAGUAGGACCUAGAGCAGAGUGUCCUGUCAAAAGGCACGCUUAUUUUCACAGGGCAAAUGAAUCAGUUUUUAUGCGGCAGGGCUACAGCUCGUUGGGAUGAAAUCGUUAAAACUUUGUAAAACAAACUGUGAGAGGUGCAAUAUUUCAUUAUUCAAACUGGGAGAAUAGACAGGCAUCCUAUGGAAAAGUGAGUCAUAAUCUCUGUGGUACAUUCUGUUCAUUCUUUUAUAACAAACAUGAGUGUUUGUUUGCUAAGUCCAUUAGCAUCCAGCUAUAAACUUGAUUAGGAGGACAAGUUCCUCAGCCUGCCGCUGGGUUAGCAUGUGUAUUGCCGUUUGGUCGCUCUGUUGUAUAACAGCACCAGUCAUGUCAGACUGCCGUUCCAAAAGGAAAUAACAGCACUUUCCUCGUUUAUUUCAAGUCCAUCAAAAAUUUCUAUUAAGGACAUCAAAGCAAUGACUCGAAUACUUUCCAUGCUUUCUGAAUGACUCACCUUUUAAAGAAACUGCUGGGAAAUAAGGCACCACUAAGGUUCCUUAAUUUCAGGGUUUGAAACUUUUAAGAACCUCAUGGAAAAUAGUCAGAACAAGAAGCCACAAACCCACCUUCUCAUAAAACCCUUCUCCAUAUUUUAUAUAUUAGUAUUAAUUUCUGUGCUACUAGUUUGAGUUGUUUUACAACCUGCAUGCCAGAAGAUAAAAGAGCUCAUUAGUCUAUCUUUGUGACUGUGGAAGGUAAGUUAAUUGAUCAAGUGUAUUUAUUGCUACCAUUGAUGGAGGAUGAUGGCCAAGGGAACAACUUUUAAAUAGGAUGAUGAUUGGCUUCAUCUAAAACUAGUAGCAAAAUAAGGGGUUGUCUGCUGGAGACAAAGGGACUUCUGGGAAGUUUCUAUGCAGCAUAAAUAGCAUUUUCGAAAUCUGACUCUUGCCUGGUUGUAAGAAUGGGCAAAGUUUCCAAAUUUUUAAAUGCUUGCUGCAUUUCUAAUGACUGUAGAUGGGGUGGGAGGCAUUGCUGCUGACUUCAGUGGGAAGAGACUUGGAGAUUUGCCAUGGGUUAGGAACUUUUCAGGUUAUAGCUUGAAGUGUUUCAUCUAUUUCCAUAGAAUCACUUGCUUAUCACAAUUAUUUGCCCAGCACAGUGCUCCAGGAAGUGAGGUUACUAUCCUGCAACACCUGAAAGGAAGGGCUGAGGACAAUGAGUAUCCACUGUUAGGCUCUGGAAUUCCAGCUUCGGGAGUGCAUGAUGGUACCCUUAAGACUGCUCAUCUUGCUGACCUUUUUCUUCCACCUUCUAUCCACAUUUCACCAGAGCAGUGGCAUGCAGUUGCAGACACACUCUAGCACAGGAUGGAGCAUGCAUUGAAAACCUGUGGAGUAACAGCAUGAGACUACAGGUAAAAUAGCUGCUUCACUCCCCAGACCGAACUUACGUUGAGACACUCAAGUAGAAAAUACAGAGUCUUUUGUCUUUUUACCAUGGCAAAUAUCUGGUGAUAGUUUUAGAGCUUCUUUCUGUCUCUGAUAAUAAUUUUUUAAAAUACAUUUAUCUUCAAGGUAUCCAAUUAUUAAAGUCCAUUCCUCCAUUAAAGUCUCUUAUUGCAGGUGUUUUUAGCAGUCAGGGAAUAAGUCUGUAUUGUCCUUCCUCAAGAUCUCUUCAAGCCAUUGUUCACUGAAGUGGAGAAAUGCUUCAGAGCCAUGUCAGAUGCCUUCAGCAUGCAGCCAUGUGGAUGAGCUGGCCCCAGGAGCCAGUCCAGUUCCAGGUUCCCAGAAAGAUGUCUCACACCUCUCACAGUGUAUCAGCAGUAGAAGGCUCUCCUCACCCACUGCAGCACCUCAGGUUACCUCUGAAGAAAACCUGGCUUUAAAAGAGGAGCUCAGACGGGAAAGCAGCAAUGUUCCAAGGGAAUUUCCAAGUCAAGCAGGAGAGCAACUGGCUUCUCAAAGAGAUCCCUAAAACAUUCAGCUACGCAGUUGGAGCAGCCUCCGGGAUUUUUAUCCUGCAAGUCAAUGAACACUGUUCAGAGGAAUGAAGAAAAACAGGACUGGGGAGAAGGAUGCACAAGGCAGCUGGGAAAGCACUAUUUUCAGGCCUGUUCCACCACCAGCAGCAAGUGAACCUUACUCAUUUGGUGGAAAAAACCAGUGGCUGAGCCCUCCAGUGCAUCUCCUUGGGGGUCAAGAACAGCAGACACAGCUCUCCACUGGCCUCUGCAUAGCUGAGGCAGCUGCACAGGUAAGGCACUAGGACUUUACACGGCUCCUCCGGUGGAACAGAGACGUCCA
This is a long non-coding RNA of Pezoporus flaviventris, 2676 nucleotides long. RefSeq lists it as uncharacterized. The transcript has 5 exons. The record is from RefSeq and is a predicted model, not a curated record. NCBI's taxonomy places the organism in Eukaryota, Metazoa, Chordata, Aves, Psittaciformes, Psittacidae.